Molecule: ribosomal RNA, 253 nt
Filed under: uncultured bacterium
Lineage: Bacteria
Description: partial 16S ribosomal RNA
Rfam family: Bacterial small subunit ribosomal RNA
Source: RNAcentral
UACGGAGGGGGCUAGCGUUGUUCGGAAUUACUGGGCGUAAAGCGCGCGUAGGCGGACCUGCAAGUCGGGGGUGAAAGCCCGAGGCUCAACCUCGGAACUGCCUUUGAUACUGCGGGUCUCGAGUCCGGGAGAGGUGAGUGGAAUUCCUAGUGUAGAGGUGAAAUUCGUAGAUAUUAGGAAGAACACCAGUGGCGAAGGCGGCAUCCUGGACCGACACUGACACUGAGGAGCGAAAGCCAGGGGAGCAAACGGG